CACCGAGUUCGCACGAGAGAUCGCACGUAGAGAAAGGCGGACGAUUAUACUUUCAACCGAAGAUUGCAACUUGCAAUCUCCACGCUGAAUAAUUGAGUCGGAGCCGGUCAUGGGGUAUGUCGCGUAAUCGAAAGUUCAUCGUAAUUCAAUUCGGAUAACGCAGUUCGCGGAAGUGGGAACCGCUUUAAUCCAGGAUUCCAAGCUAUUUACGGCGGGACAAGUGGGCUCCCCCGUUUACGAAGCUGAGCAAAGCUGCACGACCGGAGCAGCUUCGACAGUUGUUGAUCGGUGCGCGAUGUAAAACGAAGAGAAGAACGAAAAAGGCGAUCCGACCCCCCAUUUUAUUUGGGGGCUGGAAGGUCUAUAGAUAGAACGAUAACGUCGCUACGAAUGCAGCGGGGAAUAUUAUCCGGGUUAUUUUUAACCCCCCC
RNAcentral lists this unclassified non-coding RNA (431 nucleotides) under Athalia rosae (coleseed sawfly). RNAcentral describes it as "misc RNA ENSAEAG00005006545.1". Lineage: Eukaryota; Metazoa; Arthropoda; Insecta; Hymenoptera; Athaliidae. The record is from RNAcentral.